UUUGAUGGAAACGUUAAAAAAACUUCAACCAGAAUACGAUUCAACUGUAUAUGUGAUACAAAAUUUACAACAUAAGCAUAAGUAUACAACGAAUGACUUGUUGACCAUAAGUACUAAAAUAGAAAAGGUUUUAUAAUUAGAAAAGAAUAGCGCUUAUAAAAAUACUUUCUUCGAGACGGAUGUUGAAUGGUUUAUUCGUCUGGGAUUGAUCAUGCAAAACAAUAUCCUGACUGGAAUGGAAUCCUUACAAGAUAUCUUAGAAAAAGUUAAUGAUCAACUCGGAUAUAGUCAUCCCCAUGUUAUGCAGACCAGAUCUAGCAAAAAACUCAAAAACGGAAAGACCCAUCACGUACAAAGUCAACCAUGUAAUAAUCAGAAAACAGCUUUACAAAUUACUUUGAAAGAAGAAAUAUACAAGAUAAGCAACAAUGUUACACUUCACGUUUGGAAGAUUCUGUCUUUCAGAAAUUCCUCUAUUCAAGCCUUUGGUUUUGUAAAAGGGGUUGUUCGCAUCUACCUUAAAGAUAUAUCGCUUGAAGCCGAUGUAAUGAAAUAUUUCAAGAAGUUUUAAAAGUCAAAUGGUCUGCACGUAACAAUGCAAGUAUGGCCUAGUAAUCGUCAAAUGACAAAAUAUUCUUUUGAACAAGGGAGUCGCAUUGAUGUGUCGAAUGCACCAUUAGCAGAAAAUGAAGAAAUUAAAUAUGGCACUUUGGGAAUGUUUCUUGAAAACAGAAGGAAGGAAUUAUUUUUUACUACAUGUGCUCAUGUUAUUGAAAAGGGCAAGUAUGCAUUUUGUCCAAAGGAUCAUUCAAUUCUUGGAGAAAGUGUUUUUGCCCACGAAGGACCAUCGUAAAACUCCAAACAGUGGCUUGACUUGUCAUUGGUGAAAGUCCACAAUAGCAAGAUUCAAAAAUGCAGAUCCGGUCUUAAAGGCGAUAGUGAAUGCUCUCAUUUAUUAGAAUACACAAUAUUUCCCGGAUUCCUAGAUGAUAUUCAUUCAAGACCAGUAUAUAAGUGGGGAGCUCGGACAAAUUACACAGACGGAACAAUAGACGACUAUGUCAUUUCGAGAGAUGACUCAGACCAGAAAUACUUUCUUGAGAUUCGAGUUUCAGGUUCGCGCAAAUUUGCACUGCCUGCUGACAGUGGAGCCUUAAUAUGUAUGAAUUAUCCAUCACAUAUUGGUAAUGGUCCGACUGCAGCCUUUGUGAUUAUAGGUGCUGAAGAAAUACCAAUUGAAGACCAAACGAUCACUAUGCUUUGCUGUUACAGCAUUUCAGAUGCUAUUGAAGAAAUAAGAACAAGUGGUACAUUUGGAGAAGGCAUACAACCGCGUGCUGUAAUAAGACAAUCGCGUCGAAUUGCCUCCGUAUCCGGAUGUAAUUCAGAAUUAAAGACAUCUGUCAAAAGACAAAAAGUUCUACCACCGCGAAAGUAGCGAAAAAUUAUGAGAAACAGUGUAUAACUUUCUGAAUUAAAAUUAUUUUAUCAAAUCAUGAUCACUAUACUGUAAAUUAAAUAUUAUAUUUGAAUUGAAAUAUUUUAAGCUAAAUUGUAGAUUUAACAAUGUAAACAGAAAUCACAAAAAAUAAAAUUCGAUGUGGAAUUGAUAUUU
This is an RNA transcript of Mytilus californianus (California mussel), 1615 nucleotides long. RefSeq lists it as uncharacterized. The transcript is spliced from 2 exons. NCBI's taxonomy places the organism in Eukaryota, Metazoa, Mollusca, Bivalvia, Mytilida, Mytilidae. The record is from RefSeq and is a predicted model, not a curated record.